GAUGAAGAACGUAGCGAAAUGCGAUAAGUAGUGUGAAUUGCAGAAUUCAGUGAAUCAUCGAAUCUUUGAACGCACAUUGCGCCCUUUGGUAUUCCUUAGGGCAUGCCUGUUCGAGCGUCAUUUGAAACCUCAAGCUCAGCUUGGUGUUGGGUGUCUGUCCCCGCCUCACCGCGGGGACUCGCCUCAAAAUCAUUGGCGGCCGGUACGUUGGCUUCGAGCGCAGCAGAAACGCGAACUCGAGGCCCGGCGGAUCGGCGACCAGAAGUCACUUCUUCACAGUUUGACCUCAGAUCAGGUAGGGAUACCCGCUGAACUUAAGCAUAUCAAAAGCGGAGGA
RNAcentral lists this unclassified non-coding RNA (337 nucleotides) under soil metagenome. RNAcentral describes it as "partial contains 5.8S ribosomal RNA, internal transcribed spacer 2, and large subunit ribosomal RNA". The stretch from base 1 to 120 matches the Rfam family "5.8S ribosomal RNA", at positions 35 to 154 of the family's 154-position model. The record is from RNAcentral.